CAGCCGCCACGGGAAUACGAAGGGUGCAAGCGUUAUCCGGAUUUAUUGGGUUUAAAGGGUGCGUAGGUGGCCUGUUAAGUCAGGGGUGAAAGACGGUAGCUUAACUAUCGCAGUGCCCUUGAUACUGAUGGGCUUGAAUGAACUAGAGGUAGGCGGAAUGUGACAAGUAGCGGUGAAAUGCAUAGAUAUGUCACAGAACACCAAUUGCGAAGGCAGCUUACUAUGGUUUUAUUGACACUGAGGCACGAAAGCGUGGGGAUCAAACAGGAUUAGAUACCCCCGUAGUCCCUGUCUCUUAUAC
RNAcentral lists this ribosomal RNA (301 nucleotides) under uncultured bacterium. Its description in RNAcentral is "partial 16S ribosomal RNA". It matches the Rfam family "Bacterial small subunit ribosomal RNA", at positions 509 to 807 of the family's 1533-position model. The record is from RNAcentral.